RNAcentral lists this non-coding RNA (88 nucleotides) under Pseudomonas baetica. Lineage: Bacteria; Pseudomonadati; Pseudomonadota; Gammaproteobacteria; Pseudomonadales; Pseudomonadaceae. The record is from RNAcentral.
UUUUAUGGCGGUUGUGUGCGGGAGACUUUCGAGUCUGCCGAGUCUGGUUUCUCCUCGGUCUGCGAACCUGCUCACAGCCGCCACCCAU